CGGGCUACGGCAGGUCGGNAUGCCCCGAAUCCCCCGGGCNGNACGCGACGUUCAAUGGCGGAGACAGUGGGAUGCGACCCCGNAAGGGGAAGCAAAUCCCUAAACUCCGCCUCAGUAGGAAUCGAGGGUUGCAACUCGCCCUCGUGAACGCGGNAUCCCUNGUAACCGCGCGUUACCACCGCGCGGUGNAUANGUCCCUGCUCCU
Molecule: ribosomal RNA, 205 nt
Filed under: uncultured crenarchaeote
Lineage: Archaea; Thermoproteati; Thermoproteota
Description: partial 16S ribosomal RNA
Rfam family: Archaeal small subunit ribosomal RNA
Source: RNAcentral